Molecule: ribosomal RNA, 270 nt
Filed under: uncultured archaeon
Lineage: Archaea
Description: partial 16S ribosomal RNA
Rfam family: Archaeal small subunit ribosomal RNA
Source: RNAcentral
CAGCACCUCAAGUGGUCAGGAUGAUUAUUGGGCCUAAAGCAUCCGUAGCCUGCUUUGUAAGUUUUCGGUUAAAUCCAUACGCUCAACGUAUGGGCUGCCGGGAAUACUGCACAGCUAGGGAGUGGGAGAGGUAGACGGUACUCGGUAGGAAGGGGUAAAAUCCUUUGAUCUAUUGAUGACCACCUGUGGCGAAGGCGGUCUACCAGAACACGUCCGACGGUGAGGGAUGAAAGCUGGGGGAGCAAACCGGAUUAGAUACCCGUGUAGUCC